AUUGAACGCUGGCGGAAUGCCUUACACAUGCAAGUCGAACGGCAGCACGGACUUCGGUCUGGUGGCGCGUGGCGAACGGGUGAGUAAUACAUCGGAACGUGCCAAGUCGUGGGGGAUAACGUAGCGAAAGCUACGCUAAUACCGGAGACGCUCUAAGGAUGAUAGCGGGGGAUCGCAAGACCUCGCGCUAUUGGAGCGGCCGGUGGCAGAUUAGGUAGUUGGUAGGGUAAAGGCCUACCAAGCCGACGAUCGGUAGCUGGGCUGAGAGGAUGAUCAGCCACACUGGGACUGGGACACGGCCCAGACUCCUACGGGAGGCAGCAGUGGGGAAUUUUGGACAAUGGGCGCAAGCCUGAUCCAGCCAUUCCGCGUGCAGGAUGAAGGCCUUCGGGUUGUAAACUGCUUUUGGACAGAACGAAAAGGCUCUGGUUAAUACCCGGGGCUCAUGACGGUACUGUAAGAAUAAGCACCGGCUAACUACGUGCCAGCCGCCGCAGUAA
This 500-nucleotide ribosomal RNA is filed under the name uncultured bacterium. RNAcentral describes it as "partial 16S ribosomal RNA". It matches the Rfam family "Bacterial small subunit ribosomal RNA", at positions 30 to 523 of the family's 1533-position model. The record is from RNAcentral.